GUUAAAGUUUCGUUUGACCUGGAUAACAUUCAGAUCAAGUACAUUGACGAGGAUAAUGAUGAG
This is a non-coding RNA of Buceros rhinoceros silvestris, 63 nucleotides long. The record is from Rfam. Lineage: Eukaryota; Metazoa; Chordata; Aves; Bucerotiformes; Bucerotidae.